RNAcentral lists this unclassified non-coding RNA (520 nucleotides) under uncultured Glomus. RNAcentral describes it as "SSU rRNA". It matches the Rfam family "Eukaryotic small subunit ribosomal RNA", at positions 569 to 1092 of the family's 1831-position model. Lineage: Eukaryota; Fungi; Glomeromycota; Glomeromycetes; Glomerales; Glomeraceae. The record is from RNAcentral.
AGCAGCCGCGGUAAUUCCAGCUCCAAUAGCGUAUAUUAAAGUUGCUGCAGUUAAAAAGCUCGUAGUUGAAUUUCGGGAUCAAUAUGUUGGUCGUGCCUCGGUACGUACUAGCUUAUUGGUUUCUCCCUUCUGACGAACCGUGAUGUCAUUUAUUUGGUGUUAUGAGGAAUCAGGACUGUUACUUUGAAAAAAUUAGAGUGUUUAAAGCAGGCUCACGCUUGAAUACAUUAGCAUGGAAUAAUGAAAUAGGACGUUUGAUUCUAUUUUGUUGGUUUCUAGGAUCGACGUAAUGAUUAAUAGGGAUAGUUGGGGGCAUUAGUAUUCAAUUGUCAGAGGUGAAAUUCUUGGAUUUAUUGAAGACUAACUACUGCGAAAGCAUUUGCCAAGGAUGUUUUCAUUAAUCAAGAACGAAAGUUAGGGGAUCGAAGACGAUCAGAUACCGUCGUAGUCUUAACCAUAAACUAUGCCGACUAGGGAUCGGAUGAUGUUAAUUUUUUAAUGACUCAUUCGGCGCCUUACG